AUUGAACGCUGGCGGCGUGCUUAACACAUGCAAGUCGAUCGGUAACAGGUGUAGCAAUACAUGCUGACGAGAGGCGGACGGGUGAGUAAUGCUUGGGAAUCUGCCUAUUAGUGGGGGACAACCCGGGGAAACUCGGGCUAAUACCGCAUACGCUCUACGGAGGAAAGCCGGGGACCGCAAGGCCUGGCGCUAAUAGAUGAGCCCAAGUCGGAUUAGCUAGUUGGUAGGGUAACGGCCUACCAAGGCGACAAUCCGUAGCUGGUCUGAGAGGACGACCAGCCACACCGGAACUGAGACACGGUCCGGACUCCUACGGGAGGCAGCAGUGGGGAAUAUUGGACAAUGGGGGGCAACCCUGAUCCAGCGACGCCGCGUGGGUGAAGAAGGCCUGCGGGUUGUAAGCCCUUUCGGUGGGGAAGAAAAGUCUCGACCUAAUACGUCGGGACCUUGACGUAACCCACUAAAGAAGC
Molecule: ribosomal RNA, 470 nt
Filed under: uncultured bacterium
Lineage: Bacteria
Description: bacterial SSU rRNA
Rfam family: Bacterial small subunit ribosomal RNA
Source: RNAcentral